UGGGGAAUAUUGGACAAUGGGGGGAACCCUGAUCCAGCCAUGCCGCGUGUGUGAAGAAGGCCUUAUGGUUGUAAAGCACUUUAAGCGAGGAGGAGGGUACUGGUAUUAAUACUACCAGCUACUGGACGUUACUCGCAGAAUAAGCACCGGCUAACUCUGUGCCAGCAGCCGCGGUAAUACAGAGGGUGCGAGCGUUAAUCGGAUUUACUGGGCGUAAAGCGUGCGUAGGCGGCUAAUUGAGUCGGAUGUGAAAUCCCCGAGCUUAACUUGGGAAUUGCAUUCGAUACUGGUUAGCUAGAGUGUGGGAGAGGAUGGUAGAAUUCCAGGUGUAGCGGUGAAAUGCGAAGAGAUCUGGAGGAAUACCGAUGGCGAAGGCAGCCAUCUGGCCUAACACUGACGCUGAGGUACGAAAGCAUGGGGAGCAAACAGG
This 430-nucleotide ribosomal RNA is filed under the name Pseudomonadota bacterium. RNAcentral describes it as "Proteobacteria bacterium partial 16S ribosomal RNA". It matches the Rfam family "Bacterial small subunit ribosomal RNA", at positions 355 to 776 of the family's 1533-position model. Lineage: Bacteria; Pseudomonadati; Pseudomonadota. The record is from RNAcentral.